Molecule: ribosomal RNA, 548 nt
Filed under: uncultured bacterium
Lineage: Bacteria
Description: bacterial SSU rRNA
Rfam family: Bacterial small subunit ribosomal RNA
Source: RNAcentral
UAUGCAACCUACCUUUAACAGAGGGAUAGCCCCGAGAAAUCGGGAUUAAUACCACAUAACAUUACCUUAUCACAUGAUAAGAUAAUUAAAGCUUUGGCGGUUAAAGAUGGGCAUGCGUGACAUUAGCUAGUUGGUGAGGUAACAGCUCACCAAGGCAUUGAUGUCUAGGGGUUCUGAGAGGAUGAUCCCCCACACUGGUACUGAGACACGGACCAGACUCCUACGGGAGGCAGCAGUAAGGAAUAUUGCGCAAUGGAGGCAACUCUGACGCAGCCAUGCCGCGUGAAGGAAGAAGGCCUUAUGGGUCGUAAACUUCUUUUAUUUAGGAAUAAACCCUCUGACGAGUCAGAGGUUGAAGGUACUAAACGAAUAAGCACCGGCUAACUCCGUGCCAGCAGCCGCGGUAAUACGGAGGGUGCAAGCGUUAUCCGGAUUUAUUGGGUUUAAAGGGUGCGUAGGCGGAUCUAUAAGUCAGUGGUGAAAUCCCGGGGCUCANCCCCGGCACUGCCAUUGAUACUGUANGUCUUGAAUACGGUUGAAGUAGGCGG